ACCCUAUUAUAUUUAAAUAAUCUUAGGUAUUAUUAAAAUUUUAAGAAACCUAUGUAGUUUGGCGGCAUUAAUUCAUUUUAGAGGAACCUGUUUUUUAAUCGAUAACCCACGAUAAAUUUUACUUUUAUUCAUAUUUUAUAUACCUCCAUCCUAAGGAUUAAUAAAAAUAUUUUCCCCUUAAUAGAAUCCUAAAAAGUUAGGUAAAGGUGUAGACUAUAUAAAAGAUAAAAUGGGUUACAAUAAAUUAUUAUUUAAGGAUAUAUUAAUAAAUUAACUUUUUAAAAAGGAUUUAUUAGUAGAAUAUAAAUAAUAUUUUUAUUUGAAAUUGAUUAAUAAUGUGCACACAUCGCCCG
Molecule: ribosomal RNA, 353 nt
Filed under: Eriophora ravilla
Lineage: Eukaryota; Metazoa; Arthropoda; Arachnida; Araneae; Araneidae
Description: partial small subunit ribosomal RNA
Source: RNAcentral